GACGAACGCUGGCGGCGUGCCUAAUACAUGCAAGUUGAGCGCUGAAGGUGGGUACUUGUACCAACUGGAUGAGCAGCGAAGGGGUGAGUAACGCGUGGGAAAUCUGCCUUUGAGCGGGGGACAACAUUGGGAAACGAAUGCUAAUACCGCAUAAAAACUUUAAACACAAGUUUUAAGUUUGAAAGAUGCAAUUGCAUCACUCAAAGAUGAUCCCGCGUUGUAUUAGCUAGUUGGUGAGGUAAAGGCUCACCAAGGCGAUGAUACAUAGCCGACCUGAGAGGGGGGUCCGCCACAUUGGGAAUGGGACACGGCCCAAGCUCCUUCGGGGGGCAGCAGUAGGGAAACUUCGCGAAUGGACGAAAGUCUGGCCGGGCCACGCCGGGGGAGUGAAGAAGGGUUUCGGAUCGGAAAACUCUGUUGGUAGAGAAGAACGUUGGUGAGAGUGGACAGCUCAUAAAGUGACGGUAACUACCCAGAAAGCGACGGCUAACUACGUG
RNAcentral lists this ribosomal RNA (497 nucleotides) under uncultured bacterium. Its description in RNAcentral is "partial 16S ribosomal RNA". It matches the Rfam family "Bacterial small subunit ribosomal RNA", at positions 28 to 507 of the family's 1533-position model. The record is from RNAcentral.